ACGGCCAUACCAGGUUGAAAACACCGGUUCUCUGAUCACCGAAGUUAAGCAACGUCGGGACCGGUCAGUACUUGGGAGGGUGACCACCUGGGAACACCGGGGGCUGUAGACU
This is a non-coding RNA of Cordylochernes scorpioides, 112 nucleotides long. The record is from the annotation of a GenBank genome assembly. Lineage: Eukaryota; Metazoa; Arthropoda; Arachnida; Pseudoscorpiones; Chernetidae.